Molecule: ribosomal RNA, 492 nt
Filed under: uncultured bacterium
Lineage: Bacteria
Description: partial 16S ribosomal RNA
Rfam family: Bacterial small subunit ribosomal RNA
Source: RNAcentral
UGGGGAAUAUUGCACAAUGGGCGAAAGCCUGAUGCAGCAACGCCGCGUGAGUGAUGAAGGUCUUCGGAUUGUAAAGCUCUGUCUUUUGGGACGAUAAUGACGGUACCAAAGGAGGAAGCCACGGCUAACUACGUGCCAGCAGCCGCGGUAAUACGUAGGUGGCGAGCGUUGUCCGGAUUUACUGGGCGUAAAGGGUGCGUAGGCGGAUGUUUAAGUGAGAUGUGAAAUACCCGGGCUUAACUUGGGUGCUGCAUUUCAAACUGGAUAUCUAGAGUGCGGGAGAGGAGAAUGGAAUUCCUAGUGUAGCGGUGAAAUGCGUAGAGAUUAGGAAGAACACCAGUGGCGAAGGCGAUUCUCUGGACUGUAACUGACGCUGAGGCACGAAAGCGUGGGUAGCAAACAGGAUUAGAUACCCUGGUAGUCCACGCCGUAAACGAUGAGUACUAGGUGUAGGAGGUAUCGACCCCUUCUGUGCCGCAGUAAACACAUUAA